UAGUUGGGGCGAGUGAGUGGCGGUGCGCGUGGUAGUGGCCGAGUGCGUGGGCGGUUCCUGGAUGGGUGUAUGUGCGUAGUAGGUGUGUGUAUGUUAUCUGUAUGUUAGGGUUGUGUGAAUGAGCCCCUCUGCGCCGCUGUCUUUCCAUUCUCUUACACGUUGAUCUUAUUUGAUCGGGCCGGGAUGUCCGCCGCCUGCCCGGCCUGAAAUGAGAACACCCUCUUCCUGCGAAGCCCUCGGGGGGCGCUGUGCAGGGAAGCAGGUUUACCGAGCAGGCGGUAACGCAUAGUCGGAGAUGAUGAAUUGAUCAGAUAGAUGAGGCUGGGGGCUGGGUGACCCCCUUCCCCCGGCCAGUGCGUAUCGAGGCGAUUCUGAUCCGA
This 380-nucleotide small nucleolar RNA is filed under the name Pogona vitticeps (central bearded dragon). RNAcentral describes it as "Small Cajal body-specific RNA 2 (ENSPVIG00000012146.1)". It matches the Rfam family "Small Cajal body-specific RNA 2". Lineage: Eukaryota; Metazoa; Chordata; Lepidosauria; Squamata; Agamidae. The record is from Rfam by way of RNAcentral.